CGAUCGAACACGUUCUGCGCCUCUCCUCGGCACCGACGUCAAAGCCACCCCCGAUGGCUGCAACGCACUGGUGCACUUGGUGGUCCUUCCUUUUUCGUGUGAUAUUAUACCAGCAUCUGUGAUGCCAUUUCAAAGACCGCAAUCAAAGCAUUAAAUGCCAGAUUAAAGCGACGCGAUAAUAUUACCCCAAUAUUCGUCCGUAAAUGUUACCGUAUAGAUGUUUAAUUAAGCAUUAUUAUGCUUCGAAUAAUUUACUAUCACAUGUUCCACAAGAAAACAUAUGUUUCACUUUUCCCCGUGGCGUAAAAUGUCAAAUUAAAAGUACCAAAUUAAAAACAUAUGGUAUCCCGAAACCAAACGUACGACAUGGCGAAUCACGAUGAUACGAUAAAAAUUGAUCUAUGUCUUGAUUUAUUCAAACAGAACGAACUUACUCGAACUUUUCCAGAAUAAACGAUUUAUCCGAUAAUAUCCGUCACCAGCUUCUCUUCCUUCAACGGUAACAACUGACACCGAAAGCUCGAGAGACCCGAACGGUGAGACGUACCCAGAAGCAAUGCAGUUACCUGGGCAAAGAGUCCCAAAGACCAAGGACGUAGGAAAUUUCGAGAAACGGAAAUGGAAACUGGAGUGGCGCGUCAAUCAGCACUGACGGAAACUAAUAAAAAUGGAAAAAACCAAACUAAUUCGUUUCACAAAUUAUUAAAACGAUAUUAUUCAAAAUUUCACUCGAUUUUCUCACUGCACACCUCAAUAUUUGUCGAAAUAUCAAUAUUAAACAGUUAAUAAAAAAAAAUAUCCUCUUUCUUCAUACCUGUCUUUCUCCCGGGCGGCGAAGGAAUACUAGAAUGUUCGAGAACAACGGAUACUUUUUGAUUUUAUCUCAAUAUCAAUUUCAAUCUUUUUAAACGAAAUAUAAUCUGAACGAUGAAACGUUUGAUCAAAUAAUGUUCUUCGUUCGAUGCUAAAGGAAAUUGAGAAGAAACAUCGAAAAUUCGUUAAUAAAACGAAUUUCUUUGUUUCUGUUAGAUAAUAAACUUGAUAUACGUAUUGGUUUUUAAAAUCAAUAUAGCUAACCAAUGGGCACACUUUUAACAAGGGUGAUGGAACAUACCAAAAAUCUUUCAAGAUGGUCUUGGCAACGGAAGAGUCGAAAAUAUGACAAUUAUGAAUGAAAAAUUCUAAUAUUUUACAGCUGGCAACGAUAAACAACUCCAGAUAUUCUCCUAAUUAAUUUACAACAAAUUCGCGUAUAUGAUCGAUAGCUGACGUCACUGUCUGUGUCCCACAGCCCUUGUAA
Molecule: unclassified non-coding RNA, 1300 nt
Filed under: Bombus terrestris (buff-tailed bumblebee)
Lineage: Eukaryota; Metazoa; Arthropoda; Insecta; Hymenoptera; Apidae
Description: misc RNA ENSBTSG00005034523.1
Source: RNAcentral